RNAcentral lists this transfer RNA (71 nucleotides) under Bos taurus (domestic cattle). It matches the Rfam family "tRNA". From Rfam's summary of the family: Transfer RNA (tRNA) molecules are approximately 80 nucleotides in length. Lineage: Eukaryota; Metazoa; Chordata; Mammalia; Artiodactyla; Bovidae. The record is from Rfam by way of RNAcentral. RNAcentral also lists the same sequence under 4 other names.
UCCCUGGUGGUCCAGUGGCUGACUUCAUGCUCCCAAUGUAGGGGACCCAGGUUCGAUCCCUGGUCAGGGAA